Molecule: long non-coding RNA, 425 nt
Filed under: Camelus dromedarius (Arabian camel)
Lineage: Eukaryota; Metazoa; Chordata; Mammalia; Artiodactyla; Camelidae
Description: lncRNA (ENSCDRG00005008984.1)
Source: RNAcentral
CGGGAGCGCGCACACACCGGCGGCUUCGCGCUCCCAGCCGGUGCCGAGCGCCGGACUGAGGGGAGCGCUAGACCCGGGUAGCGUCCGGCUGGGGAACACUGGGCCGAGGCUCACUCGCCAUAUGAAUACAGGCAACCGCCGCUUUGAACAAUGAAAUCUCGGUGGUCUUGUCCUCGGUCGACCACCUCUUGGAAGUUCGCUGAAUUCUAGAAGUCUGAGGAGUUCUGUACCACAGAAGGACGGACGGCCUCCACCGUGGGAAUUACGGUCAUUUAAGCAAAACGUAAGUGAAGAGUCUAACCCCCAGGAGGACUUCAUAAGAGCAGUAUCGCCACCUGUGUCUUGGUACCAGCAUAUCCAGCUGGACUACACACAUUACAGAAUAUCCUCUGAUUCAACAGAAAUCUGGAAGAGUUUACAGUCUG